This is a long non-coding RNA of Sardina pilchardus (European sardine), 693 nucleotides long. RefSeq lists it as uncharacterized. Lineage: Eukaryota; Metazoa; Chordata; Actinopteri; Clupeiformes; Clupeidae. The record is from RefSeq and is a predicted model, not a curated record. The transcript is spliced from 4 exons.
UUUGGGGGAAACAAACGGAUUCCCCUGAGAACAGAACUCGCUGUAGUGCUGUGAUAGCAGCUAAUCGUAAAAAAAAAAUGGCUCAGACAUACACCCUCUCUUUGCCGGCUGAGGACCGUGAGCGGUAUUUAAAGAAGCUAAUGGAUACUGGAUUGCAGAGGUGUCCCUUUGAAAUGGUCGAAAAUUGGAUUAAUGACCCCACGCAGUGGCCAAAUAUGGACUAUUCAGACAUCUACCACUAUCUCGUGGAAUCACCAAAUUAGGGGAGAGCUGUUCCCAUGUGGGUGCAGUUCUGUAUAAGCUGGAAGCUUCAGUCCGCCUGGGUAUCACCACCACUGUUCAGCUGCAAAUGUUUGUGUGUGCUGCGCAGUAUGCAGACUUUGUUACUUGGACCCCACAGCAGACCACCAUUUUCAGAAUCCUAAAAGAUGAUGAAUUCAUUCACGGAAUGGUGGACAUGAUAAGCAGAUUUUGGGCAAAACACAUCCACCCGCGAUUGAUGACAACAGUGCUACAAAGUGAGACUGGACCAGACAGCGAGGGAGUGGACCGUCAAGGAUGUGAAAGCGGCCUUUCAGCACACCAAUCACCCGCUCUGUGAGGACAACAACAACAAAAAGGAGCGCUUUUUAAAACUGACUUUUCACAUACAUCAAAAUGUUAUUACAAUAAACUAGUUCUACUUACAACUUA